UUGUCGGGUUGCCUCGAUGUUAUGGUGGGAAAUCCUAACAUGGUUUGGAACCUAUUGGGUGAUGCCAGGUACUGCGAAGGGUUUAACGUUCAGUUGGAUCUGUGGAGUAAGAAAGAGAAGACACAAGGCUUAGAGUGUUGCCCCACUUGCACUCAUGUCGGUUGUUUAGAGAAAAAGAAAUAGGAGAGCUUUUGUGGGCAUAGAGAUGAAUUUUGUACAUUUGAGGGAUAGCCUUCUAUCCCUUAUUUCCUUUUGGUGCACCCAUGAGAUUCCUAGUAGUCUAGAAGAUUGGGUGGCUUUCUUAGAAAACCAUCACUUUUUGUAGGUUUACUACUUUUUGGUAUACCUCUUGUAUAGGGGCUGUUUCUUAUUAAUGAAAUUUAUUUACCUUAUCACAAAAAGACCAAAAUAAUUAGCAGACUCUAGAGCUAAUAAUUUUGUUCUGACAAAUUCCCAUUUAACCUUCAGUCUCUUAGUAUUAAUGAGGAUUUAACUAAGAAUGGUUUACGAAAAGCAAGGAUCCAUAUAUGCAGUACCAACUAGUUGAGAUUAAGGUUUAAUUACACUUGCGCAUGUCCAGAAAGGGACAAUUGCGAGAUUCAGAGAACUUCCCGUCUCAGGAAAAUCUGUAUUUUUGACUUAAAAGACAAACUGAUUACCAAUAUUAGAGUGGUAUGUUCGCCCAAGGGUGUGGCCUAGUGGUCAAUGAAGUGGGUGGACAACCACGAGGCCCGGUCCUAAACGAGCCUCAUGGGUCGGGCUUAAACGGACC
RNAcentral lists this long non-coding RNA (772 nucleotides) under Nicotiana benthamiana. RNAcentral describes it as "long non-coding RNA (NBEN_LNC036824)". Lineage: Eukaryota; Viridiplantae; Streptophyta; Magnoliopsida; Solanales; Solanaceae. The record is from RNAcentral.